UACGGAGGGGGCUAGCGUUGUUCGGAAUUACUGGGCGUAAAGCGCUCGUAGGCGGCUUUGUAAGUUAGAGGUGAAAGCCCGGGGCUUAACUCCGGAACUGCCUUUAAGACUGCAUCGCUAGAAUCGUGGAGAGGUGAGUGGAAUUCCGAGUGUAGAGGUGAAAUUCGUAGAUAUUCGGAAGAACACCAGUGGCGAAGGCGACUCACUGGAAACGUAUUGACGCUGAGGUGCGAAAGCGUGGGGAGCAAACAGG
This 253-nucleotide ribosomal RNA is filed under the name uncultured bacterium. RNAcentral's name for it is "partial 16S ribosomal RNA". It matches the Rfam family "Bacterial small subunit ribosomal RNA", at positions 524 to 776 of the family's 1533-position model. The record is from RNAcentral.